UCCCCUGCUACUUCAGUUUCAAAUAUUUGUUGAACAUUCUUUGUUUCUUUACCAGAUCGUCGGCCUCCCCUGCUACUUCAUUUUCAGAUAUUUGCAACUUGAUUUGAACAUUCUUUGUUUGUGACAGAGAGCAUGGGGUAUAGUUUUUUUAAAGAGACUGAGAUCUAUGAAAUUACUUCUCUGAAAAUAUGUAAUUACUUCCCUGUAAUAUAUUUGAAUGUGGUGUUGCAAGUUCUGAAACAAAUUUAUGUGAAAUGAUUUCUGGAAUAUAUGUGAAUUUAUAUUUCAAUAUGGUGAAACUGACAAUUUCAGUCUGUGGAAGUGUUAUAUAUUUCUGAAAAUGGUUGGAAUGAUUUUCAGUGAGAUAAGAAUUGAAAUAGUUGUGUGUAGUUGAGCUGUGCAAAAAAUGUGUAACUAAUAUUUCAAUGUAUUGUUGCAAGUUGUGAAACUAAUUUCUUUGAAAUAUAUGAAAUUACUUCUCUGAAAUACAUAAAACUGAUGUUUCUCAUAUUUGUAACUUGUUAUUUCAGUGAGAAAUUACUUCCCUGAAAUAUAUUUCAAUGUGGUGUUGCAAGUUGUGAAACUAUUUUUUGUCCAAAUAUAUGAAAUUACUUCUCUGAAAUAUAUGAAACUGCUAUUUCAUAUAUUUGUAACUUGUUGUUUCGGUGAGAAAUGUAUUGAAAUAUAUGGAAUUACUUUCCUGAAAUAUAUUUCAAUGUGGUGUUGCAAGUUGUGAAACUAUUUUUUGUCCAAAUAUAUGAAAUUACUUCUCUGAAAUAUAUGAAACUGCUAUUUCAUAUAUUUGUAACUUGUUGUUUCGGUGAGAAAUGUAUUGAAAUAUAUGGAAUUACUUUCCUGAAAUAUAUUUCAAUGUGGUGUUGCAAGUUGUGAAACUAAUUUCUGUGAAAAUAUAUGAAAUUACCACAUUGAAAUAUAUGAAACAGCUAUUUGUCAUAUCUGUAACUUGUUAUUUCAGAAAGUGAGAGAGGUUUGUCCUUUGUGAAAAAUGUGAAACUGGGAUUUCAAUGUGUUGUUGCAAGUUGCAAAACUAAUUUCUGUGAAAAUAUAUGGAAUUAGAUCUCUGAAAAAUAUGAAACAACAAUUUCUCUUAUCUGUCAUUUGUUAUUUCAGUGAUAUAUGUAUUGAGAAAUUACUUCCCUGGAAUAUAUUUCAAUGCGGUGUUGCAAGUUGUGAAAAUAAUUUCUGCCAAAAAAAUAUGAAAUUGCUUCUCUGAAAUAUAUGAAACUGUUAUUUCUCUUAUCUAGCAUUUGUUAUUUAAGUGAGAUGUGUAUUGAGAAAUAUGAAAUUACUUCCCUGAAAUAUAUUUCAAUGUGUUGUUACAAGUUGUGAAAGUAAUUUCUGUGGAAAUAUAUGAAAUUAGAUCUCUGAAAAAUAUGAAACUGCUAUUUGUCAUAUAUGUAAUUUGUUAUUUCAGUCAUAUAUGUAUUGAAAUGUAUGAAAUUACUUCCCUGGAAAUAUAUGUAAUUACUUUACUGAAAUACAGAAAUAUACAUCACUUACAUGGCUCAGCUACACAUAGAUAUGUGAAAUUUAUAUUACAAUGUUGUGUAACUAGACUAGCCUAUGCAAGUGUUAUAUGCUUCUUAAAAGGAUUGCAAUAUUUUUUGAAAGAUUUGAAAUGAUAUUUUAGUUAGGUAUGAAUUGAAAUAGCUAUGUGUAGCUAAGUUGCAUAGGCUAAAAUAUGAAAUUGACAUUUAAAGUGAGAGAGGUUGAUCCUUUGAAAAAUAAGCUGAUAUUUUUGUACAUGUGUGAACUGUGAAGUGAGACCGGCUUCAGGAGCUAGAAUCACGUGGGUAGGCCCAGCUGGUCAAAUCACGUGGGUGGGGACCAGCUGGUGGGAUACAACGGUUUAAAUGAAGUAAUGUGUGCAAUACAGAGAUACAUCUUAUGACAACUUUUGAGGUGGCAAGAUUCCAUUGGUCAGAGAAGCUCUGGUAGAUCCCGGGAACGGUAAAAAGCGGUUUGCGAAGAGACGUGCCCAAGCCGCCUGAAAAAAGGAAAAGAAAAAAAAUGUGAUGGCCGUCUUCGGUCGCCUGUGCCACCGCCCGCCAACGCCCGGCCGGCUGCCUGUCCGUUCGACGCCCGACCGGUCGGGUCCGACCGACUGGGCACCCCUCGAGCCACCGGAGGCUCGGAGGCUGCACCCAGUGGGCAGGACCCGCCGGAUGCAAGCUGGCAGCCGGCCGUCAUCAUCAACACUUGCCUCGUCUACACGAAAACCAAUGUGAGCUCUUCACCCGCAUACUUUCGCACCACGUGCAUACAUGGAUAACCUCGAGCGACGCUCGGGGACCACCUUCGCCUUUAUUACAGUUGCAUCAUUGUUCGCUCCAGCGCCGACUAGUCUUGGUCCGAAGGCUGGCCGCUUGGCCCGAUACACUCGUUCGCGUAGACGGCUUAGUAGCGCAUACGGUACCAAAGGUCCACUCUCAGCCACAAACCGCAGCACGGCUGUCCGGCAAGCGAGAGCAAAAGCCGGAGGUCACCCCACGCGAAAAAUGUCCGGGAGAAGACGGCUUGGGCAUCUCGGCCGUUUCCCUUAUGAGCAUGUACUCGGUCAAAUCCGCUCCUAUAGUCCGUGUAUUGUAUACUCCACUCCUAUAGAUCUCGGAAGGUCUUCGUAAUAGCUAUAGACCGGCUUCGGACUGUCUACCUAACAAGAGGCAAAGCCAAAGAGCGGAGGGGACAUGAAAAAAA
This 2718-nucleotide long non-coding RNA is filed under the name Triticum aestivum (bread wheat). RNAcentral describes it as "long non-coding RNA (TAES_LNC026568)". The record is from RNAcentral. Lineage: Eukaryota; Viridiplantae; Streptophyta; Magnoliopsida; Poales; Poaceae.